Molecule: transfer RNA, 73 nt
Filed under: Neotoma lepida (desert woodrat)
Lineage: Eukaryota; Metazoa; Chordata; Mammalia; Rodentia; Cricetidae
Rfam family: tRNA
About the family: Transfer RNA (tRNA) molecules are approximately 80 nucleotides in length. Their secondary structure includes four short double-helical elements and three loops (D, anti-codon, and T loops). Further hydrogen bonds mediate the characteristic L-shaped molecular structure. tRNAs have two regions of fundamental functional importance: the anti-codon, which is responsible for specific mRNA codon recognition, and the 3' end, to which the tRNAs corresponding amino acid is attached (by aminoacyl-tRNA synthetases). tRNAs cope with the degeneracy of the genetic code in two manners: having more than one tRNA (with a specific anti-codon) for a particular amino acid; and 'wobble' base-pairing, i.e. permitting non-standard base-pairing at the 3rd anti-codon position.
Source: Rfam by way of RNAcentral
GUCCAGCUAGAUCAGUUGGUAGAGCAUGAGACUCUUCAUUUCAGGGUCGUGGGUUCACGCCCCAUGUUGAGCU